GGGGAGCCGAGGAGCGGAGACACGGACCCAGCGGGGCCACGCGGGAGGAGACUUGGGACACCCAUUCGCUGGCUGCCACCGGGAGCAGCGGGGGGCUCGGCCGCCCCCUCCCACAUCAGUCUCCAGACCCUUGGGGCUUCAGAGGCCGCUCCUAGGCUCCUCGGAGGAGGCGCGGGUUCCUUCUUUUCCGGAGAGCAAACUUUCCUCGGAGAUGCCUCGCAGGAUAAGCUGCGGCCCCCGGAGAGGUCGGGGCAGCUUCUGAUCGCCGCCUGCGUGCCCCGCCACUGCCCGUGGCCAGGAGGCCCCAGGGAACGGACAGCCCGACCUCUUAGGCGCCGGGACCCUCAGGCUCAGAUCAGUGGCCGAGGCCCCAGAGUUUGCAAACUCAGCUCUGGAGUUCAGCAGCAACAGCAGCAGGAAAAACCUGCCCCUGCUCCCCCCUCCCGCCACCUCCCCUCUCCUCUUCUCCCCUCACCCAGCAGGCACCCCCGGUUCCCGCCAGGACCUCCUGCCAUGUCGGACCCAGACGUCCCCAGGGGCCCGGAUGCCCCCGCCAUGUGGCCCCCUUGUUCCAGGGGUGCCUGAGCCCCUUCAGGGAGCCCCAACCCACCCCCAACCUUGGCCCAGCCCUGAGCCCCAGGGACCAUGAGCGGGGGCAAGAAGAAGAGUAGUUUCCAAAUCACCAGCGUCACCACGGACUAUGAGGGCCCCGGGAGCCCAGGGGCUUCGGAUCCCCCUACCCCACAGCCCCCAACCGGGCCCCCGCCCCGCCUGCCCAAUGGGGAGCCCAGCCCCGAUCCAGGGGGCAAGGGCACCCCCCGGAAUGGCUCCCCACCACCUGGGGCCCCUUCCUCCCGUUUCCGGGUGGUGAAGCUGCCCCAUGGCCUGGGAGAGCCUUAUCGCCGCGGUCGCUGGACGUGUGUGGAUGUUUAUGAGCGAGACCUGGAGCCCCACAGCUUCGGCCGACUCCUGGAGGGAAUUCGAGGGGCCUCAGGGGGCGCCGGGGGCAGAUCUUUGGAUUCCAGGUUGGAGCUGGCCAGCCUUGGCCUGGGCGCCCCCACCCCACAGUCAGGCCUGUCUCAGGGCCCCACCUCCUGGCUCCGUCCACCCCCCACCUCUCCUGGACCUCAGGCCCGCUCCUUCACUGGGGGACUGGGCCAGCUGGUGGUGCCUGGCAAAGCCAAGGCAGAGACACCCCCACUGGCGGCCUCCCCACCCCAGCAGCGCCCCCCAGAGCCUGGGACCGGUGAGAGUGCGGGCACAUCCCGGGCUGCCACGCCCCUGCCCUCUCUGAGGGUGGAAGCGGAGGCUGGGGGCUCAGGGGCCAGGACCCCUCCACUGUCGCGGAGGAAAGCUGUAGACAUGCGGCUGCGGAUGGAUUUGGGUGCUCCAGAGGAGAUGGGGCAGGUGCCCCCACUUGACUCUCGCCCCAGCUCCCCGGCCGUCUACUUCGCCCACGAUGCCAGCCUGGUUCACAAAUCUCCAGACCCCUUCGGAGCAGUAGCAGCUCAGAAAUUCAGCCUGGCCCACUCCAUGUUGGCCAUCAGUGGUCACCUAGACAGCGACGAUGAUAGGUAGGUGGGCUUCGUGGGGUGGUGGGGCUUGGGGUUCAGGUUCCCUGCCCAGCACCUGGGGUAGCUGUAAGAAAGUGCCUGGUAGGCAUCCUUCCCCCAGGUUGAACUUGGAGAGGACCUCUUAGACACAGAAACCUGGCGUGGGCAUAGCCACUGCACACAGUUGAUUUCGGACCCACUCCCUCUCUGUGGAGAAGGCUGGGUGGGACUCCCUGGCUCAGAACUGUCAGGUCACAGACUUUUUUAGAGUCUGAAGGGAGUCAUUGUUGUCAGAUUCCAGAGCUCUUGCAGAUUUAGAGAUCAUCUGGCCAACCCCAGGAACCCACUGGCAAAUGCGUGCUCUAGACAGAAUAGCAAAUCAGGCUGGGGUGCAGUGGCUCCCGCCUGUACUCAUAGUGCUUUGAGGCCAGGAGUUCAAGACCAAGCCCUGGCAAUGUAGUGAGACCUCAUCUCUAAAAAGAAAAA
RNAcentral lists this small RNA (2039 nucleotides) under Pongo abelii (Sumatran orangutan). RNAcentral's name for it is "retained intron". The record is from RNAcentral. Lineage: Eukaryota; Metazoa; Chordata; Mammalia; Primates; Hominidae.